This 327-nucleotide ribosomal RNA is filed under the name uncultured eukaryote. RNAcentral's name for it is "partial 18S ribosomal RNA". It matches the Rfam family "Eukaryotic small subunit ribosomal RNA", at positions 1470 to 1796 of the family's 1831-position model. The record is from RNAcentral.
CCCCUAGAUGUUCUGGGCCGCACGCGCGCUACACUGAACAGUUCAACAAGUCUUAACCUUGGCCGAUAGGUCUGGGUAAUCUUUGAACGCUGUUCGUGAUUGGGAUAGACCUUUGCAAUUAUGGGUCUUCAACGAGGAAUUCCUGGUAAACGCAAGUCAUCAGCUUGCAUUGAUUACGUCCCUGCCCUUUGUACACACCGCCCGUCGCACCUACCGAUUGAAUGGUCCGGUGAAGCGUUCGGACCGUGGCCUUUGGACGGUUCGCCGUCUGUUGGCUGCGGGAAGUUCGUUAAACCUUAUCAUUUAGAGGAAGGAGAANUCGUANCA